Haliotis rubra (blacklip abalone) is the source of this 1223-nucleotide long non-coding RNA. RefSeq lists it as uncharacterized. The transcript has 3 exons. Lineage: Eukaryota; Metazoa; Mollusca; Gastropoda; Lepetellida; Haliotidae. The record is from RefSeq and is a predicted model, not a curated record.
ACGUCCUCAUACAACAUCAUUCUGUACCCGAGAGGCGAGCCACCCCGUUAUACACCAUCCCUCUGUUCUCGGGGAGAGGCACCACGACGUGCUAUACCAUCCUUCUCGGGAAACGAAAAGACACCGUGCAGGACCUUCCUCAUGUGUUCGGGAAGCCACACAGUACCUCGGCCUUGUUGCACAACUUGAUCACUUCCCGACAUAAUGAGUGACCGUUCCCAGACCUACCACAGCCAUGCAACUCGCCAGACACGUUCACGUACAGCGUAUCCUGGUGCGUGCGAGUUGCUCUUCCAUGUGGUGCCAUCUAUCGACAAGAAGCGUCUUUGACGGAUCAAUUCACCCUGGAACAUAUACGAGAAAUAGCACCUUAUCUCGGUGUGUCGGUGAUAUAUCCCAGUAGCAUUGGUGCACACAAGUACAUUGUUACAGACAAGCAGCCACAGUGUAGUGUACACAGUGUGGCAGUUAUUAACACUGUCUCUGUAAUACAUAUGCACUGUAUUCUACAAUAUAGUAAAGACACUGAAGACACACGUGCAACAAGAUAAGCAGUGUUACUGUACAUAAACGGGAAGAAACAGUUUCUUAAGCAUUCAUACAAAUGUAUACACAAUAUCACACAGCAUAUUAACAAUAUGAUUACCGAGACAUGGUGUCGCUACAGUGAUACAUACACAGUAUGAUACAGUAUUACAGAUCUGUUCAUACAAUGUUGUAGAAUUAUGACACUGUUACUUUAAUACCUACACAGUAGGUACACAGUUUGACUGCAUUACAUCCACAAUACGAUACAGUACAUAGCACUGCAUAUGCAAAAUGAAAAAAAUAUACACGCUGUUGCUGUAGCACAUACACGCCAUCUUACAGUAAUACAGGCAUAAUGUAUUGCAUACAUGUUAUUUUACAGUAAUACAAAUAUAUUGUAGUACAUACAUGUUAUCUUACAGUAAAACAGAUAUAAUGUAGUGCAUACAUGUUAUCUUUACAGUAAGACAUAAUGUAGUACAUACAUGUUAUCUUACAGUAAAACAGAUAUAAUGUAGUACAUACAUGUUAUCUUACAGUAAUACAGAUAUAAUGUAGUACAUACAUGUUAUCUUACAGUAAAACAGAUAUAGUGUAGUACAUACAUGUUAUCUUACAGUAAAACAGACAUAAUGUAGUACAUACAUGUUAUCUUACAGUAAUACAGAUAUAAUGUAGUACAUACAUGUUAUCUU